GAUGAACGCUGGCGGCGUGCCUAAUACAUGCAAGUCGAGCGAACAGACGAGGAGCUUGCUCCUCUGACGUUAGCGGCGGACGGGUGAGUAACACGUGGAUAACCUACCUAUAAGACUGGGAUAACUUCGGGAAACCGGAGCUAAUACCGGAUAAUAUAUUGAACCGCAUGGUUCAAUAGUGAAGGACGGUUUUGCUGUCACUUAUAGAUGGAUCCGCGCCGCAUUAGCUAGUUGGUAAGGUAACGGCUUACCAAGGCAACGAUGCGUAGCCGACCUGAGAGGGUGAUCGGCCACACUGGAACUGAGACACGGUCCAGACUCCUACGGGAGGCAGCAGUAGGGAAUCUUCCGCAAUGGGCGAAGGCCUGACGGAGCAACGCCGCGUGAGUGAUGAAGGUCUUCGGAUCGUAAAACUCUGUUAUUAGGGAAGAACAAAUGUGUAAGUAACUAUGCACGUCUUGACGGUACCUAAUCAGAAAGCCACGGCUAACUACGUG
Molecule: ribosomal RNA, 497 nt
Filed under: uncultured bacterium
Lineage: Bacteria
Description: partial 16S ribosomal RNA
Rfam family: Bacterial small subunit ribosomal RNA
Source: RNAcentral